This 100-nucleotide small nucleolar RNA is filed under the name Absidia glauca. RNAcentral describes it as "Small nucleolar RNA snR60/Z15/Z230/Z193/J17". It matches the Rfam family "Small nucleolar RNA snR60/Z15/Z230/Z193/J17". From Rfam's summary of the family: The members of this family belong to the C/D class of snoRNAs which contain the C (UGAUGA) and D (CUGA) box motifs. The record is from Rfam by way of RNAcentral. Lineage: Eukaryota; Fungi; Mucoromycota; Mucoromycetes; Mucorales; Cunninghamellaceae.
GUGAUGCAUAUGAUGAGAUGGCAAAGUAUAGUUCAUUUGACCACGGACUUACUAUCCGUGUGCAUGAUGUUUAGUCUUUCGCCCCUAUCUGAUUCAACAC